GGAAAAGGAAUUUCUAUACCUAGGAACAGAUCCGUUUUGUGUGGAGCGUUCAAAGAGACGGUUGGGAAAUACUUUAUCAACUGUGACAAACAUAGAUUCUCAUUAUGUAUGACUACCGAUUUAAAAGAGUGGAAAGGACCUACCAGUAAGCAGUGUUUUAGUGGUGAGUACAAAUGUGUAUCAAGCCAUAAAAAGUUUGUAAAUAGUCAGUCCUACAUUUAUGAUUUAUAUCUUAUUAAAAAAUCAAAACUUCAGAUAUACUAAUUGUACAGUUAUACUAAAUUUGUUAACCUUCUUUAAACCUGUACAGUUGCAUAAAUCAAAAUAUGCAUUGAACUACCGCUAGAAUAAUGUUUUCAUUAGAGACAUAUCCGUAGAGCAAACUACCCGAACUACAUUUACAGAUGACACCGACUAAUCAUGAAACGUAGCCAUUACUACGAUUUCUGGUACAAUUGCGAGAAUUUAAUUAAGGAGAAGUUUAAGACGUUUAGCUCAACACUCUUUUUCUUCAGCAUUUACCUUAUGAAUUACCACACUGAAAAACGAAAAACAAAUCUUCUGUUUGAAUGUUUGCUAAAUAACUUUAUGUUAACUCAAAUGUUGCUUAAGUGUAUAUAAGUAUAAUUUCAUAGAAAAUUCCAUGUAAUGGAAGAUGCUCUUGACGCUGAUGCAACACAGAGUUCUGCCCGCUGUAAUCGUAAUAAAUUGCGUUUGUAGCUUAUUUAGACAAGAAGGGGAAUCAGGGAGCUUUCUGCAGCCUGUCUGCAUUUAUUAUUUUAUUUGUAAAAGGUGGACAAUCUACCACAACUAAUGCACUGUACAGUGUUGGCAAUAGCACGGUUAAGAUAGUUAGCGUCUCAGAAAGCAUUGAAAGAACAAGAACAUCAAGAAAUCUACCUGUGACAGAGUCAAUCUCCGAUCGAAACGGAACAGAAGUGUAUAUUAAGGACGAAGCAGAACAGCGUACAGAUCACGAACAUGAUUCACAUAUUGGUGUGAAAGUUGGUGUACCAGUCGCAAUUCUUUUGGCGUUGAUAUGUGGAAGUUUAAUUAGCAUUUACUUGUUUAGAAGGAGGAACAACGCCAAGAAAAAGUCUCAUGUAGAACCACCCCAAGGAACAUUAAAGAACGAGGCAAGACACGGAAAGCAAAAUGAUUACGAAUCACUUGACCACAUACAUGAAAAUGAUCACAGUUACCAUACAAUUCGCGAAGUUGUGGAGACAAAAUCAUAAUUACACUACAAUUUGCGACAUUGACAACUAGAGAUCUAAUGUUUAUGUAGAUAUAUAGCUUACAACAUAUAUUUUAUGAGGGAAUUAACGAAGUAAAUGUUUAUUAGUGCAAUAUCAACGGUAUAAAGAAAAAUAUGCUUCAACAAUUUUAAUUAAAACGCAGUUUAAAACAAUGUUUGAUAACUUCAAAGCAUAGUUUUUGUCAAGGGGCCUCCGUGGUCGAGUGGUUAAGGUCGCUGGCUUCAAAUCACUUGCCCAUCAUCCAUGUGAGUUCGAGCCCCACUUGGGGCGUUGAAUUCCUCAUGUGAGGAAGCCAUCCAACUGGCUUACGGAAGGUUGGUGGUUCUACCCAGGUGCCCGCUCGUGAUGCAAUAAAGCACGGAGGGGCACCUGGGGUCUUCCUCCACCAUCAAAGCUGGAAAGUCUCGAUAUGACCUUUAAUUGUGUCGGUGCGACGUUAAACCCAACACAAUAAAUAAACAGUUUCAGUCAAGAAAUCUGAUGCAUACUAACUAACAGGAUCAAAAUAAAAAAAGAAAAACAAACAGCCACACACAAAAGAAUUGCCGCGAAUCAUUACAUAUACAGACUAUAUACUAAGCAGUGUUGUUAUAUUUUCCGGUCCUUUGGGAUCAUGGAGUUCAUUCAAUAUCUAUAUAAUAGAGUUCCGCUUAAGCCGGUGCUAGGGGCGUCAUUUUGCUUGG
Mercenaria mercenaria is the source of this 1942-nucleotide long non-coding RNA. RefSeq lists it as uncharacterized. The transcript is spliced from 4 exons. NCBI's taxonomy places the organism in Eukaryota, Metazoa, Mollusca, Bivalvia, Venerida, Veneridae. The record is from RefSeq and is a predicted model, not a curated record.